UCCCAGGUGGCUCAGCUGGUAAAGAAUCCGCCUGCAAUGCGGGAGACCUGAGUUCGAUCCCUGGGUUGGGAA
This is a transfer RNA of Ovis aries (sheep), 72 nucleotides long. It matches the Rfam family "tRNA". Rfam says of the family: Transfer RNA (tRNA) molecules are approximately 80 nucleotides in length. Their secondary structure includes four short double-helical elements and three loops (D, anti-codon, and T loops). Further hydrogen bonds mediate the characteristic L-shaped molecular structure. tRNAs have two regions of fundamental functional importance: the anti-codon, which is responsible for specific mRNA codon recognition, and the 3' end, to which the tRNAs corresponding amino acid is attached (by aminoacyl-tRNA synthetases). tRNAs cope with the degeneracy of the genetic code in two manners: having more than one tRNA (with a specific anti-codon) for a particular amino acid; and 'wobble' base-pairing, i.e. permitting non-standard base-pairing at the 3rd anti-codon position. Lineage: Eukaryota; Metazoa; Chordata; Mammalia; Artiodactyla; Bovidae. The record is from Rfam.